AGCCUUCUUACUCGGAAUACGACAGCUUUUGUGGUUAUCAAUUGUGAAUUCUGAGACAAAUUGCAUAGUCACAAAAGUGAUCGUAAUCUCAGGCAUCACCA
RNAcentral lists this microRNA precursor (101 nucleotides) under Capitella teleta. RNAcentral's name for it is "microRNA cte-mir-153 precursor". Its record names the gene cte-mir-153. Lineage: Eukaryota; Metazoa; Annelida; Polychaeta; Capitellidae. The record is from miRBase by way of RNAcentral.